AGUGAACGCUGGCGGUAGGCCUAACACAUGCAAGUCGAACGGCAGCACAGUAAGAGCUUGCUCUUACGGGUGGCGAGUGGCGGACGGGUGAGGAAUACAUCGGAAUCUACUUUUUCGUGGGGGAUAACGUAGGGAAACUUACGCUAAUACCGCAUACGGCCUACGGGUGAAAGCAGGGGAUCUUCGGACCUUGCGCGAUUGAAUGAGCCGAUGUCGGAUUAGCUAGUUGGCGGGGUAAAGGCCCACCAAGGCGACGAUCCGUAGCUGGUCUGAGAGGAUGAUCAGCCACACUGGAACUGAGACACGGUCCAGACUCCUACGGGAGGCAGCAGUGGGGAAUAUUGGACAAUGGGCGCAAGCCUGAUCCAGCCAUACCGCGUGGGUGAAGAAGGCCUUCGGGUUGUAAAGCCCUUUUGUUGGGAAAGAAAAGCAGCAGGUUAAUACCCCGCUGUUCUGACGGUACCCAAAGAAUAAGCACCGGCUAACCUCGUG
Molecule: ribosomal RNA, 492 nt
Filed under: uncultured bacterium
Lineage: Bacteria
Description: partial 16S ribosomal RNA
Rfam family: Bacterial small subunit ribosomal RNA
Source: RNAcentral